AACGAACGCUGGCGGCAGGCCUAACACAUGCAAGUCGAACGCCCCGCCAGGGGAGUGGCAGACGGGUGAGUAACACGUGGGAACCUUCCCUAUAGUACGGAAUAGCCCAGGGAAACUUGGAGUAAUACCGUAUACGCCCGAAAGGGGAAAGAAUUUCGCUAUAGGAUGGGCCCGCGUAGGAUUAGCUAGUUGGUGAGGUAAUGGCUCACCAAGGCGACGAUCCUUAGCUGGUUUGAGAGAACGACCAGCCACACUGGGACUGAGACACGGCCCAGACUCCUACGGGAAGCAGCAGUGGGGAAUAUUGGACAAUGGGCGCAAGCCUGAUCCAGCCAUGCCGCGUGAGUGAUGAAGGCCUUAGGGUUGUAAAGCUCUUUUGGCGGGGACGAUAAUGACGGUACCCGCAGAAUAAGUCCCGGCUAACUUCGUG
This 430-nucleotide ribosomal RNA is filed under the name uncultured bacterium. RNAcentral's name for it is "partial 16S ribosomal RNA". It matches the Rfam family "Bacterial small subunit ribosomal RNA", at positions 29 to 507 of the family's 1533-position model. The record is from RNAcentral.